CCCUCGUCUCUACACUUUCUUCGGUUUUUCUCAUUGCAUUGUUCAUUUUAAGUAGAAGAAUGCAUGUUUAUGAAUUUUCUUUUGAUGGUUAAACACAUGGGUCUGCUUUUAUUGGAUUUUUAAUGAGAAACCUAGAAAUUUCAGAUGUAUAUAACUGUGUUCAUGUUAAUUUUUGUGUUAGGCUCUGCCAGUCGGAGGAGCAAAACUUGGAUGUUUCUAAAUGCAGCUGUCCUGUUUGAUCUUAUGCCUCAAUGAAUGAAACUCCUCAAAUUUAUUGCAGAAGUACAAAUAACUUUCAUCUAUCUCAAUGGCUAGUUUCAGACAGCAAUGGGUCUCUCUCAUUAUUGUCAUUAUUAUGGAUUUUGAUUCGGACUGCUUUGAUCUCGGAUAGGUUCUGAGCUCUGGAUGUCUCUGCCAAUGAAAUAAGUACUUCCACAAGUUCAUAGAAGUUCCCAUUUACUCAAGACAAUGAUGACAUCAUAGCUCUUUCUUUUCCAACAUCAGAGGAGCUGCUUUCAGGGUUCUUUGAGGAUGUGAAUAAAGGGGCAUCGACUUGCCGCUUGUGAGGUUCUCCAUAGCAACUUGCAGAUAGCAUAUUAGAAUUUCAAAAGCUGGGGAAUCUAUCAGAUUCAGGUUUUAAUCUCACUCCACAAACGCUGCAGUUAUGAUUCCAAGCUGAUAUUUAUACGCUAGCAUUUGUAUUUGUGCAGAACACGGUUUUAUUAGAGUAUAAUGGUGCUUUUGUUAGAGGAUAAUGGUGCUUUUGUUUCUUUAUUUAUUUGUUUGAGUAAAAUUUUCCAAUUCAUCAUUUAUGCCAAUUUUGGAAAUUGUAUUGUGCAUA
This is a long non-coding RNA of Asparagus officinalis (garden asparagus), 841 nucleotides long. RefSeq lists it as uncharacterized. NCBI's taxonomy places the organism in Eukaryota, Viridiplantae, Streptophyta, Magnoliopsida, Asparagales, Asparagaceae. The transcript is spliced from 4 exons. The record is from RefSeq and is a predicted model, not a curated record.